This 17992-nucleotide long non-coding RNA is filed under the name Chlamydomonas reinhardtii. Its description in RNAcentral is "long non-coding RNA (CREI_LNC001291)". Lineage: Eukaryota; Viridiplantae; Chlorophyta; Chlorophyceae; Chlamydomonadales; Chlamydomonadaceae. The record is from RNAcentral.
CAGCCGCCAUGUGCGCAUCCGCCUCCCCCGCAUCCGGCACUGCGGCCGGCGACCGCGCCUGCGGCCGCCGCUGCGGCUGCAGGGGCUGCUGCUGGUCCGCCCUGGGUUGCAGGAGCGCGACGCCGCCCGCGGCGAGGUCAGCCUUACGCACGCACCACACGGUGAAGUGCACGGGUGGCACGCUCCAGUCAGCUGCCAUCCGGGCCGCCGCUGCGGAGGCGUUCUCAUGCGCCUGUGCCGGCGACACGGCUGCGGCGGUGGCGGCGGCGGUCGAGGCCCAGGGGGCGGGCGGAUGCAGGCAGCGCGCAAAGACGAGUGCGUCGCCGACCGUCGGCUUGUAGUGAUCCAACAUGGCUUUGGUGUCGUGCAGGCGCUGAGCGCUGUUGCCGUUGCCGCGCACGCGCAUCUGCGGGUGUAGGUGCACACAUGCAGCGUUGGCGCGACGUCAAAGCACCGGCCUGAAGACGGCCCCAACGGCCAGCGCCAAUUCCACGCGGCAUGCAGCAGGUGCGGAAAACGCGCGGAAAAAGCAGCACGCGUGUGGUAUUCGAGCCACGGUGCGAUGCCGGGGCGAUGCCUUUAAACUCCCGGUUCCCCACACACGAUUCCUCCUUGCAGCUGAACCUACAACCACUGCCAAAACCUACCGCCCAGCUCCCGCCGCCUGCGCCGUCGUGCAGGAUCACAGGCCCGCAGAAGGGGUGUUCCCCGUUAUCGGCGUGUAGGCCGUGGAAGACUCCGUCCUCGCCAGUCAUGGCUGACGUAAAGCAGAUGGGCCCGCCCUUGACACUGUCCACCUCCGAGUUCGACAGCUGCUUGCUACAGAGCCUGUCCAGACUGGCUCCUGCGCCGCCGCCGCGUCCGCCACCACCCAUGAGGAGCGGCGGCGGCUGAGGCAGAGCCCGCGGCCGAGAUCGAGGCGUCGGGCUGACCGACCCGGCCGGCCCCUGCGGCGUGGCUUGAAGCUGGAGCGGCGCCGGCUUCGAGCGAAUGGCGCGCUCUUCGGAUAAAUCUGGGGUCGUCUGCGGCGGCGGCGGCGGCGGCCUACGCGGCACGGCGGCGCGGGCGGCGGCUGUGCCUUCUUCAGCUCCCUUGGAGUCUGAGGGUGACGGUCUCGCCGCGACCUUUUCCAAAGUGGGCUUCCGUAGGGCCGGCGACGCGCCCUCGGCUGCAGGCGCCGCCGCCGCCACGACAGCCCCGGCAGAGCCGCUGGGUACACGGCCCUGCUGCCGCUCCCACUGCGAGCCCGACGCCUCCUCGCCCUCCUCCUCCCCGCCGUCUCGAGACGCCCGAGACCCCUGCGCCCCCGCGCCCGCGUCGCCAGGAGCCGCCGAAGUCGGGCCCCGCCCUCCGCUGGUGGUGAUCACAGCGCCCACGGUCUCGCCACUGUAGCGGUCGCCGCCACCACCCGCGCUCCCAGGCGCAGCGACUGAGCGGGCCCCGCCGCCACCGCCGCCCAAGCCGCCCAGCCCACCAACGUUGCCGCUGCUGCCAACCUGUGCAAGGCCCGACAGCUCCGCCAGCGGCGGCGGCGCCGCCGGCGCCGCGCCAAAUCCCAACGCAGGGUGCCGGCUGCCUUGCUCUGCGCCUCCGAGCCCAGCAGCCCCUGCUACCGCGCCCGCAUGCACGCAAACGCCGGCGCUGCCGCCCGCGCCCGCGCCCGCCGCUGCUGCGUCCGCCUCCUCGCCAGCGGGCCUGAGCAGUGCGACAAUCUCGUACGGCCGCGCCGGCCUGGGCGGGUCCGCAGGCCCGGAGGCGCAGCUGCCGUUGGCUCGCAGCAGUGUGUAGCGGCCCCGCGGCACGCCCUCCACCGGCUCCCUGAUGAGUUGCAGGCCUGCCGCCUCGGGCGUGGUCGGGUCCAGAACGCCGCCGUCCGCCGUCAGCCACCUCGAGGGGCCGUUCAGGCGGAUGCGCCACGCCGCGUCCUUGCCCUUGCCCUUCGCCUUGCCGCCCGCGCCCCUGCCGGCCGCUGCCGCCCCGGCCGGGGCACCUGCGGCGGCGGCGGCGGCGCCGCCGCCCGUGACCUCUUGCAGCGGGCGCAGUGUGUCCGCAGCGCUCAAGCCGAGGACCGUGAAGAGCACUGCGCCGGCCCCGUCGCCGUCCGACACAGGCACCAUGUCUUGAGCUCCGGCGCCCGCGCCGCUGUCCAGCACCAGCGGCCCCAGCUCGGCGACGCAGGUGAGGCCCGCGGCGCGCAGGUCUGCCGGCUUCAGGGCCAGCAGCUUGCGACGCGGCGCGGCAGGGUCGCGCGACGGCAAGACGGUGACUGUGAAGUGAAUGGUAAAGGCCCGGACGCAGUGGCCCGCACGCAGGGCGUCCAGCUGGUUCCCGUCAUGCGGCGGUUGGCCUGCAGUCGCUGGCUGGGGGGCUGUCGCGGCUGCGGCUGCGGCUGCGGCUGCCCCCACCGCCGGUUGGGUUGCUGCCGCCACCAGGGUGGCUUCUGCUGCGUCUGCUGGUGCCGCUGCGGUGGCAGUUGGCGCCGCUGCAGGGUCGGACCCCGCGGCGGGUGCAGUCGCCGCAGCGGGCUCCCCGCCAGCGUCCGCCAUGUGAGCCUCCACCAAUGCCUGCUGUGCCUGCGGCGCAGCUAUGGGCGCUGUAGCUGCGGGGCUGGGUGCUGUCGCAACCGCAGCUGCCACCUGUGGCGGCGCGGCAGAGGGCAGGACCUCCACCGCAGCGCUGCCGGCGGGCGGCGGCGCUGCCUCUGGCCCCAUCGCGGCCAGCAGCACGGUUUGCAGGGACGGCGGCGAGACGGCGAAUGCAGACGCAGCCGGUUGCUUAGGCCCCGGCGCAGGCUGGAGCCCGCAGCCGCUCGCAUGCACAGCGGCAGUCGCGGCCUCGGGAGCCGCCGCAGGAGGGGCUACAGCUGCGACCGCGGCUGGCACCGGCUGCACCUCGUGCGAGCCAGCCUCGGCACCAGCUGUGCCACCGCCCGCGGCGGCGCCAACAUUUGCAGCAGCCGGGGCGGUGUCUGACCCCAGCGCAGGACCGCCCCCUACUACGCCUGCCCGUGGUGUUCCUGCAUCCGCCGCCGCCCCAACCGCCGCGCCCACGUCACUUAAUCCGACCACCUGGACUGGCAGCUGCUGCUGGGGCUGCUGCGUGGGCUGGUCACGUGGCUCCGACUGUUGGCCCGCCGAUGGCUCCACUGGCGACCCAGCCGCACCUGCAGCGACACCGGUGCUUACAGUCUUGGCAGGCGACAACGCAGCCGCCUCUGGCACCGGUGCCUGCCGCGGGAUUGCGAAUUUGUUCUUGCGGUGGCGGCGGAGCAGCGCCAGGGAGCUCACAUUGGCGAAGUCCACCGCCGGGGCUGCAGCUGAAGGCGCAGCCGUAGGAGGAGCUGUAGGUGCAGCUGAAGGUGCAGCUGUAGGUGCAGCUGUAGGUGCAACUGGCAUUUGGCGUGAGAGGUGUAAGAGAAGGCGGGGGCCACAGAGGGUAAGGAGAGGUAUGGCAUCUGCAGCCUCAUUGUAGCGGUAGCAGGCAGCUUUAACGACUUACGAGCGGUUCCCGCCGGAUUUCCACAGCUCCCCUUCGCUCCACCCUCAGCCGAUUGAGAGUCCGCAGGCUGUACAUCCAUGGUCAACUCGUUGUAUUCCAAAGCUCAAGGCAUGGCACCUCGCUUGCGCAACUCUCCCGACAAUGGCGCACUCCCCGGCGAGCCGUUCCGCCGCAUCAUAGCAACUAUGGAGUACAUGCAAUAUUUAGGCAUGCGUUUGCAUCGCUAAUUGCAAUAGGCACGUCUUGCCGAGGCAAGCCUAUACACGGCGGAUAUUUCUUUCGAGGGCGAACCUAGCCAGGCGUGGAGUACGUUGGUUUGAAUGUUGUUUGCGUAGAAAACUCCAGAUGUGGCUACGGAGUUGCGGAAGGGAUGAAUUUCUGCUGAACCCCAUUCCAGGCCCAGCCCUGGCCCUGAUAGCCCCGACCGCUCCCGGGGGACUGUUUGCAGGCUUGCCGUUAUCUUACAAGGUACCAGACUUCCUGCCAACAACGUCAGAUACCGAGAAGGUUGCAGGUCUGGGCGUUAAGCCCAGGAAUAUCGGCAUGCCAUUUCGUAACCAGCACUUUCUGGCAACCCGGUGCACACAACCUCCUCUGUCUCUGCUUCUCCGGUCAGGCCGCUCAAGCGGUCACUUGCUCAUGUGGAUAUGUGCACUUCAUUGAGUGCGCGCCUGCAUUGGGAUGCAGAUUCAACUGUAGAACCUCUGCCAGGGGAGUGGCACUCCCCUGACCUCUGCCCCUUGCGCUUACUCAAUACGAUUCCAUCGACUAGAGGCUGUUGCCACACGUCGUACUGCUCAUACAGGCCUCACGCGUUUUACUAAGCUAGCAUGAACGUCAAUGGGGGGGGCUGUGCGCGUUCAGGGGUACACGGUGGACGUUCGGGACAGUCGUUGCGGAUGGGCGGGAGAGGACAGUUCGUGCGGGAUCUGUGCGGCAGGCACGGUAAUUGAUGGGGGCGCCUGAAAAGACAGAUGAGCCAGUGCGGACCGGGGGAGGGAGCGAUUGGACUUGCUGUUCGCGCGACUGAAGAUGGAGGGAUGGGCGAAACAGGGGAAAUCGGUAACGGUAGUGGAGGGUCGGAGAACUUGGUUGGGCGGGGAAAGUAGUGGGAGGAGUGGGAAAAGUGUCUGUGUGUUCGUGGGGCGGCGGGAACGUGGCCCGCCGAGACUGCGCAAGUUCAGAAAAGACAGAAUGGAAGGUUCCAGACGAGGCCCGUGCUCAUGACGGCUUUUAUACGAGCUUUUAGCACACGUCCAUCACAUCUAUAUUGCCCAGGGGGCGACUGCGUUGCAAUCUCAGCACACAGCAUGCCAAGUUAUUGCACGCUCGUCCCAUGACAACUACAUCAGCGGGCAGACGUGAUCAAGGACUGGGCGCCAAAUUAAAUCACGUCAACACUCCGUAUACGUUGUUUUUACCCGCCGUUUCCUACGGAGAAAGCACGCAGAUACGGUCAAUUCAAUCUGGAAGCUCACACUUGGCGGUACAAACGUCUAAGUCUGCACACGCACGUCAGGCUGCGGUCACGCCUGAAUGCAUGAACAUGUAACACAUUUCACCUUGCUUUUAUAUCAUGGCUAUUCACGUGCCAACCUGCUGGGAGUUUCUGUCUCCAUCAACCUGCACUUCAAGCCAUAGUGUCGCUCCUGCAUCACGUUCCUACAGGCCACGCCGCGCGUGGCCAACACGCCAGCACACGCCGGGUUCUGCGCGGACCCGGCCGUGGACCGCACACACCCCCGCCGCAUUCACGGUGCCACGAGGCCGCACCCCACGUAGCAUACCGCAACACAUCACAGGUUCUUGGUGCUGAUGUAGUAGGGGCAGACCGCAAUGCUGAAGACGUUGCCUGCGGAUCGGCAGCAGUCCAGAGAAUGGAUACCAGUCACCACCGUAAUCCACACGCGUAACCCAGUUGCUACAGCCAUACGUAUCUAGAGGCAGGGUAUAUAUGUUUGUAUGUGCGGUUGUACGUUGUAUGUGCGCGCGUGCAGCGUGCGGACCUCCCCUCCUCAAUCUGCACGUAGACAGUGCCGGCCACACAGCCACUCCCCCGGUCCGAUGCACGCCGCUGUCACGUCCGAUGAAACGUCACGCCACGUUCCACCCACCCUGCCGUUGAGACUAUUCCAUUCGUAUGGGCUCUGGCUUGUAAUGUGCCUACCCACCCACCCACCCACCCACCCACCCACCCACCCACCCAGUCCUCCCACCACGCCCACGCCCACCUGUGAUGUGCUCCAGGCGCCACAUGCGCUCCCGCGCCCGCCGCCGCAGCACCACCACGUCGUACAGGUCGUCCAGCAUCUGGUGGUGGGCGGGUGGGGCGGGGGGCGGGCCGGGGUCAGUCGAGUGGCCGUGGGGCCUUCACGACUACGGACAAAGCACCGGAGCCGGUAAUUUCGCAUGACCAACCCUUUUCACCCACUGGGUAGCCGAGGUCAGCGCCUAACCAUACAUACAUAUACACACCCACCCACCCACCCACCCACCCACCCACCCACCCACCCACCCACCCACACCCACACCCACACCCACACCCACACCCACACCCACACCCACACCCACACCCACACCCACACCCACACCCACACCCACACCCACACCCACACCCACACCCACACCCACACCCACACCCACACCCACACACACACCCACACACACACACACACACACACACACACACACACACACACACGCACACACACCACCAUCAUGCCGCGCAUGGGCUGGAAGCUCUCUGGCUCUGAGACCCUCAAAGUCCCCCUAGCGAAGCUGUCCGUCCGCAUGGCCACAUCCAUGCAGCUGGACGAUGUGGCCACGCGGCGGGCGGACCUACACGAGGAUUAUGAGCGCGCGGCACAGGGCCUCCCGCCGCGCGCUGUGGUGCGGCGGGAGGACCUGCCAGCAGCUGCGGCUGCAACGCUUGGCGCCAUUAGGGACACCCUGGCGCGCCUUUGGCAGAAGGUGUGGUGGGAACGGCGACACUUUGAGACGCUGUGGCGGUUGGCCAUCGACGCAGUGCCGCUGCCGGGAAACUCGCAUAUGCCGUUGGCUCGCCGUGAGCCAUGCGGCUGUGGGCAACACGGCCAUGGGGGCGCCGCGGUGGAGACACACGCCGCCGCCGCGCCCACGCCACGGCAGCACCACUUCUGGGAUUGCGCGGUGGCGAAGGCCGUGGUGGCGCAGAUCAACGCACACAACCCCGGUCCGGCUCCCAUCAGCCAAGCCCAGCUGUGGCUGGUUCAGGCGCCGCCGGGUUUUCAGCAGUGUGUUUGGGACGUGGUGGUGAUGGCGGCGCUGGCCGCCACAGAACAUGGCCGGGUGCGGCUGCGCGGGAUGACGCGCGCCGCAGCGGCCCUGGGAAUUCAGACGGCGGCGGCAGCAGCUCCCGAGGCUGCGGUGGCAGGUGCAGCGGAGGCGGAACCCGAUCUUGACGAGAUCCCGCCCACACAGCUGACGCCGCCGCAGCCAGGCGUCAACCCCGUCGAGCUUGCGUGCGCUCGUGCAGUCGCGGACUUCUGGUCGCGGCUGAUGCAGUUUGCGCAGCUCGGCGUGCCCCAAAAGGGCUGGGAUGGUGUUGACGCCACUCACCCCAUCCUGGCGGUGGUGAACGGUGAAAUGCUGUGCGCGAUGCCGCAAGCUAUGGAGCUGGAGGCUUGAAAGGGAUCAGCCCUUAGGAGAAGCGCGUGAGCACUAACAUGAGCCACUGAAGCAGUGGCAUACGAGAGGGUCAGCGGGGGAGCUUAGUGGGCAGGCGAAGGGUUUUUUUUGUUUUACGCCCGUGGGAGCAGGGCCAGGUUUGCGGGGUUUUUAUGCCUGAGAGGGUGUAUUGGGUGCUGCAACACCCCGGGUCUUACGGCCUGGACCGGCCUAGUGGCCAGACGCGUUUGUGGCUGCCCUUAGGCAUUGUCUGCCCUGGCGUCGAGAGCUGGUUAGGUUGCGGUUGAGGUCGUGCAGGCUGCCGGGUCGUAGGACUCAGCCCCGCAGCCACUGUGGUCGUGCUUUCGCGUGCUGUCACGUGCUGAGUGUUUUGUUUUGUUUGCUGUUUUUGUCUGCCCGCCUGGUUUUAUUAAGAGGUAGCUCGCCCGCUGGGUCUGAGGUUGUUACACCGGUAGUAAUUCCGCAAGGAUUACUGGCGCGGUGAAGGGUCGGAGUGCGUUGCCCUGUGGACUCCAGAGCUGUUUUGCGCUCUGCCGGGGAAACGCCAGGUCACGGCAGCCCUCGAUUGAGAGCCCUGUCGUUGGUUAUACCAGAUACACGAUUCACGUGAUCUGGCAGAAUAACCGUGGAAACCGUAGUCACACACACACACACACACACACACACACACACACACACACACACACACACACACACACACACACACACACACACACACACACACACACACACACACACACACACACACACACACACACACACACACACACACACACACACACACACACACACACACACACACACACACACACACACAGAGAGAUACACACACACAGAGAGAUACACACACACACAGCACAACGUGACCGCAGCCCGAGUCCCGCACAUCCAACACCUGCAACUUUCACCCGGCCCCCUGGGUCCCCUCGCCCCAGCGCCUCACCUCGCGGUUGAGCGCGAAGUGUGUGUGGCGCAUAGCGUUGACGAUGGAGGCCAGGAAGGACAGGUCGAUCACGUCCAGGUCCAGCGGCACGCGCGUCACCGGGUCCGUGAUCUGGUACACGCGCCUGCCCUGCAUGUGUAUGCCACACGUGCCGGUGCAUGUGUUCGCGAGCACAGGCAUGGCAUGGGGUGUUAGAAGAGCACAAGAAAGGGGCGACAUCGUGCUGUACACGUGUGUGGGUGCACGCGAGUGGAAGUACAGUCGAACCACCUGAGGAAGUGUGGCAGGAUCGGCCAGGCGCAGUGGCCUUGAACACAGGGGUCAGUGUCGCACAGCCAUCGCGCAGUCCCUCCCACCCCCGCCUGUGACACACGCGCCGCCACCCACCAGGCUCUUCUCCAACCAACCGUACAACACGGGCUUGCGCAGGCGGCGGCGGUAAUGCACCACCCGCUCGCACCACCACGCCAGCUCCUUCGCUCCCUCCUCUUCUUCUUCCUCCUCCUCCUGCUGCCCAUGCCCCUCUCCAUGCCCGGCAGCCGGCGCCGCCGCCUCCACGUCAGCUAAGAAAGCUGCGACAGCCUUGCGCGCCGCUGGGCGCAGGCGCUGCAGCCGCGAGUCAAACAUCGUCAUCAAAAAGUAGUAUAGACAACGCACGCUGCAUAUCGGGAAGUGCGAAAGCGGCAAAGCGCGCAGCAAAACUGCACGCGUCCAGAACUGCGGUUGCGAAGGCCAUUGCCUCUGAGUCCGUGCUGGCUGGAUGUUUUCGUUUGUUAGGGCAGCAGCAUGCUCGCCAUCAAGAAGAGUGUAGAGUGAGCAGCGGGCCCCUUGCAGACCAAUGGGGUUUUAAACAUUGAUGCCAAAAUUUCACAACCAGAUCAAACUGUGAUUGCAACAGCGCGUUCUUACACUGUAAUCGUUCAGCAAUCGAAAUACACGCGUGUUGCCCUGAGCGGCAUCGCCGCGCGCAAAAUAGUAGUCUCUUUUGGCGCGCUCCGACAACUGGGGCGCCCGCUCUCGCCAGCGCUCUCGCCGUGUUAGCCUGCAAUCCAAUUGAAAUGAUGCAUUGCUCUCCCGACCAUUUCUAAUGCUGUGACCGGAUGCAUCAUCGUGGUUCCUCCGCUCACGCACUCCGCAUAGCAACACUCUGCCUGCCUUUGACUGGAACCCGCGCCCUGGCAACCGUCAAACGUAGAGCAGGUACAGACCACCCUCGCCAGCGCCCAACGGACUGUCAAAUUUCAUCCAGUCAUAGCAACUGCCCUGCCGUCAGCAUUCUUGCCCGCAUGAAAUUUACAUACCAUACAGUACCGUAAUGGGACACGCGCACUUAUCUUACAAGUUACAACUAUUCCCAGACCCCGCACCGGCGGUGGCAUGCCGCCCGCAAAUCCCUCGCCAACGCCCAGCCCCGCGUUGCCAGCUGCCGCCGCAGCAUGUGCACGCCGCCGCCGCUGGGGCCACCGCCGAGGCCGCCGCCUUAGCGGGCGCUGCCGCUGCCGCCCGCCGGAGCGCUGCCGGCAGGGAAGCGCCAGCCCAACGGCGUCGCCGCCAGCCGCGCCGCGCGCCACUCCAUGAAGCUCCUGGGCGCGUUGGGGUUGGGCCCGGGCCCGCCCGGCUCCGAGUCGGGGUCGAAGAUGUUGCUUCGCAGCCGGAUCCUUUUCAUCCGCCGCAGAAUUAGCUCCUCGCACCCCAUGUCAGGAAGGUAGUGAAGCCGCCCGCCCACUACCUCGUCCAGCGGCGGAAGCUGGUGGCGGUACGGAUCACUGCGGUCGGCAGCAGUCGCACGGCGGCAGGGAGGGGCAGGGGUGGCGGCAGGGGUGGGGGCAGGGGGAGGGGUAGGGAGGGGGUGUUGGACAGAAGCCACGUGGGUAACAGUGAAGGGACAUGCAGACGGUCGGGGCUGGGAAGGAUGGGCACGGUUGCCUGCCAUGCAUGGGCGCGUGACCAAGUAAGCUGAAUUACAAGGUAUCCCCAAACCAGACAUAACCAAGCAAAGGAGCCCUUUCGGUUUACCUGAAUGGCUCGUAGCGCCCAGAGCUGCAAUCACCGCCGCCGCCGCCUAGCCUGCUGUUGGCGGCGCCGCUGCCGGCUGCUGCUGAUGCCGGUGACUCCUUGGCCGGCACGUCACGGCCGGGCCCGCUGCCUGCCGCGCGCCGUGCCUCUCGGCCCUGAGCACCUGCGGCCUCCUCCGCGAGUGGCACGGCAUCGGCCGCACCGCCUGCUGGUGCCGCUGCCGCUGCCGCUGCCGCUGUGGCUGUGGCUGAUGCACCUGCGGUGCUCGAGUGAGUGCGGAGGUCCUCCCACUCAGCCGUCGCGGUCGCGGCACCACCAUGACCGUCACCGUCGCCCCAGCCGCCCGAUGCUUCAGCCGCAGUCGCGGCGGAGGGCUCCGCGCCGCCGGCUUGGUGUGGCUCGGGCGCGUCAGCCGCAGCGGCGCCCUUCCCACCCGCCGUGCCACGCACUUGCGCGGAUGUCGCUGCAGCGGCCACGUCUGAUGUGCCUGCGCUGCUCCGGUACACGGAGCCCCCGACCCAGCCUACCGGACCCACCGCGUCACCGCGAGCUUCCGCUUGGGCCUCAGGUGCCAUGCCUGCCCCGUCCCCCUCGCCGCCACCGCCAGCACACCGGCCGCCCUCUGCUUCGGCGCGGCGGCGCUUGCCCGACUCCGGGCUUGACCCCGCUGCCCGCUCGCCAUCCUGCGCCUGGCUUCCUGACUGGCCAGGACUGCGCCCCCGCGGGCCAGGCUCCGGGUCCCGCUCGCGCCCCUGGCCUCGGUCCCGGCCUCGGUCUGAAGCCUUGCCGCUGCUGCGGCCCGGAUCCCGCUUUGGCUCCGGCCCUGGCUUCGGCUCGUUGCCGCUGCCGCCGCCGCGCGCUCGCCCCUCCAGGUCAUGCUGCCGCUCCUGCUCGCCCUCGCGCCGGCGCUUCUGCCCCCGGUCGCUAUCACGCUCCCGCUCUCGCUCCUGCUCCCGGCCGCGUGUAGACUCCUUCUCGUCAUGCUUGCGUUGCUGGUCAUGCUCGCGCUCACUGCCGCGCUCCCGCGUCUGCUCCAGCUCGGGGCCGCGCUUCCGGUCCCCGCCCCUGCCGCCCUCCUUGUCCCGGUCCCGCUGCCGGUCUCGCUCGCGCCCCGGCUCCGCCGUGCGCUUUUUCUCACGAGACCGGUCGCGGUCACGCUUGCGGUCAGCGUCACGUGGCCUUUCGCGCCCCGAGCUGUGGGCCUGCGGCUGGUCAUAGUCGCUGCUGUUGCCCUGCGGCUGCUCAUCCCGCCCUCGCUUUUUAUCGUUCGGCUGCUGCUCCACGCCCAGCCCUUGCUCGCGCUCCACAGCUGGCUCCCUGUCCAAAGCCUGGGCCUGCGGCAGCGGCAGUGCUGCUGACAAGAGUGCGGAGAGCGAACCGGCCUGUCCUGGUGGCUGCUCGUGUGGGGACGGAAGAGGCGGCUGUUGCGAGGGCUGCAGCUGCGGUUGGGGCGACAGCGGAGGUUGUGGCUGCUGCGGCUCUAGCGGCUGUAGUGGUGCCGCCACUGGCGGCGACACCAGCGGCUGCUCGGCCGGCUGCGGCUGCGGCGGUGGCGACAUGCUUUGCACCGCAGACGGAGACAAGACGAUUGGCGUGCACCCGGUGCUGGACCGUCGCCGCAUGGUCCCUGAAGCAUCUAGGCCCUCCUGCUGCUGGUGCUGCAUUCCUCCUGCCUUAUCCUUGCCAGUUUGGCCUUGCUGCGCAGCCUGUGGGCUCCCCACUCCCACGUCCGGCUGCAAGGCGGCCCCCACCUGCCCUGCUGCCUUGCUGCGAUGCCUUUGGCUGUCGGUUCCACCGCGCUCUUCACGCGGCCGGGAUUCCUGCCGUUGCUCGUUCGUGUCAGGCACAGACCGCGGCGUGUUAGAAGCCGUCGGAGCAGCUGCGCCCGCUAGGUGUGGUGGGAGGAGCGACGGAGACAGCGGCCGCAGCGAUUCCUGCUGUUGCUGCAUCUGCAUCUGCUGCAGCUGGCCCUGCGCUAACGGCGGUGGCGGCGGUAGUGCCUGCUGCUGCGACUGUGGCUGGCGGCCCGUUUCCGCAUCACGGGACGCCUGUUUGUCGCGCUCCCGCUCCUUGCUGCUGUCUUGCCGCCGAGCCGAAUCUGUCCGGUCUCGGUCGCGCUUCCCUUGACGUUCCCGAUCGCGGUCACCGUCCCGGCUGCGGUCUCGCGCUGCAGGCUUCGCUGCUGCCGCCGCCGCCGCAGCGUCCGCCGCUUUUGGCGUGCCUGUGUUAUGACCAAAAGCACCCAAAGAUGCGGGGCGAGGGGAGGGCGGCAGCUGCUGCGGAGCUGCUGCUGCUGCUGCUGCCGCCAUCGUCGGCGCUGCCGGGCUUGGUCCUGUGGCCGCCGCUGCUGCUGCUGCUGAGGGCUCGCUGCUGCCAUGGCCGUCAGCCCGGUCGCUCUUGCUGGGUUCCGCUCCGCGUUCCUUGCCACGCAGCGACUGCUGCGAAUCUUUGCCCUCGGCACGCUCUUGCUGCUUGCGCUUCUCCCUCUCCUUCUCCUUCUCCCUGUCCCUAUCGCGCUCCUUCUCUUUCCCCCGCUCUUUGUCCCUGUCCUUAUCCUUCUGCUGCUGCCGCACCUUGUCGGCAUCCAUGCCGCGCUGCCUGUCGCCACUCACGGCACGAUCCCGGUCCCGGUCCCGGUCCCGAUCCCGAUCCCGGUCCCGGUCCCGGUCCCGGUCGCGCUCACGCUCCCGGUCCUUUGGGCGGCCGUCGCCGUGCUCCUUGUCGGCGCUGAGGCCCUGCGCCUCAUCCCGGCGCCGGCUGCGCUCUUGCUCCGGCUUCUGCCGGCCGCCCUCGCGGUCCCGACCGCGGUCUCGGCCCCUGGUGUCGCUACGCUCCCGCUCUCGCUCCCGCUUGCGCUCCCGAUCGCGGUCACGGGCCGCGUCGCAAUGGCCGUCGCCGCCGCCAGCUGCGGUCGAGUCGACGGCACGCCGCCUGUCGGGUGUUGCGUCAGCUGUGGACGUGGUGGCUGCCGGCGGCCGUGUCGGUUGGGCUGCGCCGUUGUCGGGCGUUGCCGCAGGGGCAGUGCCGCUCGGCGUCGUGACAGCGCCCCUGCCGCCUGCGUCGUCGCGCUGGCUGGCGCCAUGUUGCGGCGAGCGAGGCAGCGACAGCUGCGGCGGCGGCAGACCCUGCUGCAGCUGCGGUGGCUGCAGCGGAACCGCUGCUGCAACUCCUGCCUCCCCACCAGCACUGCCCGCCUGCACCGCAGCCGCUGCCGCUGCGCCUGCCGCAGCCCCCUGGGCGGCUUGAUGCCACGCCGCCGCCUCCUGGGGCAGCGGGAAGGCCUGCACCUCCCCGGGCAGGUGCAGCAGCGCCUCGUGGCGUGCCAGCGAGGCCUGCGCGUCAUCCAGCGCCUCCUCCGCCGCCGCCGCCUGCGGCAGGCCGUUCUCGGCCACCUCCCACCCGUCCGCCACGGGCGCCCACCAGUCAUCGCCUCGGUCCAGGAGCAGCUGCUCGCCGGGCCGCAGGUCGCGGACGGCCACCAGCACCGGCAGCACCACGCCGCGCACCGCAACCGGCACCACCUAGCAAUUGGAGGAGCGAGGCGGUUCCAAGGCCUACCUCAAGAAAGCUCGAAAGGGCAACGUGCAUGGCCUCGGGUUUCGGGUCACACGGAGUUUGGGAGCUGCAUGAAAACAGCCCGCAGCGCAGGGCGCUACCGCAAGACAGUCCCAGUCCGCCGUGUCACGCAAUACCGCGUCCGCCCCGUCCGCCUGCCCGCUCCCAUCCCCGCGCGCACCCACCACGCAGUUGGCCUGGCGCUCCUCCUCCGGAGGCUCCGGCAGCUCUAAGUCAUCCGUCGCGUGCCGCCGCUGCCCCGGGUCGUUCACCAGCGCCAACACGCUGCGUGCCGCCCCCAUGCUGAACAGCGUGAACUCCUGCUGCCGCGGCGCCGGCAGCUGCGAGUGCAUGCAGUGGGCGCUGUCCGGGGGCGCGAUACCUGUGCCUGCUCCGGCUGCUGCAGCGGCUGUUGCCAGGUCCGCUGCCGCGGCUGCUGCUGCUUUGGCGGCAGCCGCCGCGCCCGGCGUCUCCGUCAGCUCCGGCGGGUAGGGCAGGCGGUAGGACAGGGACAGGAAGCGCCACACCUCUCCAGUCUCGCCGCGCCGCCGCAGCUCCAGCAGCAGAGCGGGGUCGCCGCGAGCUGGGCGGUGGCUGGACGCCGCGCGCGGGUGGCCCACGUAAGCGAACUUGUAGGCGUCCUCAGAGCCGCCCGCAGUGCCCUGCGGGGCCGCACAGGUCGCGGGUGCGCGCGACAUGGAGCGAGCAGAUGCCUUACUACUUGCGUACAUCCCACCUUGACUUACGUAGAUCCCACCUUGACUUACGUAGAUCCCACCUUUCUUGCGUACAUCCCACCUCUGCCCGCUUCAUGACGACGCUCAAGAACCCGCCUUCUGACUGCCAUACUCGGGACGUCAAGCUACGCACGCGCUCACCUGCAGCAGCCAACCAGGCAUCACACCCAAGGGGUGGAACUUCCGGACCUCCGUGGUCACGCACGCGCCCAGCCCGCCGCGCCGGGCGUCGCGGCACGCCACCACGCAGGGUAGCGUCACGGGGCCGCGCGGCAGCGGCGUGGUGGCGUCAUACAAGUCCUGUUGUGGGAGAACGAGGGCGGCCCAGGUUUGCUAACAUUCCGUUGCAGAACCCUUUUGCAGUGGUCAAAUGUCAAUCAAGCGUCCAUAUGGACACAUUGUCCUGGCUUGUUUGGGAUCACGUUCGGGGCGUGUGCGGUGUUCCAGACUGGACAAUACGCUCGAGCGCACCUUGAGAUUCAGCAGGCUCGCAAGGCGGCGCUGAAGCACCCCGGUCCUGGUGCCGCUGCUGCUGCCGCCGCCCUCGCCGCCCCGAAAUAGAGCAUGCCAAGGCCUCGGCUGCGCCGACGCUGGCAGCGCCGCCUGCUGCCCCUGGCCUUUGUCUCCCUUUCUGCUGCCUCCACCAGGCAACGGCACGAUCUCGACUGCGGGCGUCUGCUCAUUGCCGGCGUGGCGUCGUAGCCAGUCCGCCCGCCCGGCGCGGGCGAAGGCGGCAGCCGCGGCAUUGCCACCGUCCCGCCUGACCGCAAACACGACGCCGCACAGUCGCAGCGACCCGUCGUCUGCAUCUUCCGCGGGCACCUCGCGUGCUGCUGCCUGCGGCGCGCCGCCGCCGGCCCCCGCAGCCUCCGAGGCACCAGGCAGCAGCCGCCUCCAGCGCAUCUGCUCCAGCGUGAUGGUGCCGGCGACCUGCUCCCACUGCGCAUCAGCGGCGGCGGGCGGCGUGAAGCUGGCGGGGUCGGCGCCGGCCGGCACCCAGCCGUCCGGGUCGUGCACGCAGGCGGCGGCGCCUGCCGCGCCGGCAGCCGCCGCGGUGCCGAGGCCGGGCUGCUGUAGCGGCUGGGGCUCCUGGGGCGACUUCCGCUGCUGCUGCUGCUGCUGCUGCUGCCCUGUUGCGACGUCGCGGGCCAGCGGCGGCGGCGAGACGCUCGGCUUGGGGCGCGCAGGCGCCACUGGAGCCGGCGGCGGCGCACGCGCCCGUGGCGGCGCGCCGUCCUUGGCCGCGGCCUCGCCUUUGCUGCCGGCAGACCUGGCGGCUGCCCCGCCGUCGGCACUCCGCGGGCUGGGGGCCUCCCGGCUGGUGGUGGCUGGCGCCGCCGGCGCUGCGGCCGCGACCCCGGGAUCCGUCACACCACGCGCCCCGUGUGCCACCGCCACGGCACCCCGCCGCGCCAGUCCUCCCGCUGCUGCCCCGGCACGCUCCCCCUCCUGCUCAUCGUCCUCAGAGCCCUCCUCGCCCUCAUCCAAGCCCUCAUACGCGCCCUGCUCCUGCCCCGACUGCUCGUCAGCUACGGCCGCGCCCCCCGGCCGACGCGAGACGCAGCGCACGGCGUAGUGCGGGGGGGCCAGCCGCACCGCGCCCGCCGCCAGCGGCCGUCCGGCAUUGUCGCAGGCUUCCAGGACCAACUCCUUGCCGACCGCCAAGCCCAAUCGCUUGCGCAUGUCAGCUGGAAUCGUCAUGUACAGGUUAGUCCUGCCGCUGCGUAAUGUACGCUGUGGAAUGCAGGCGGGGAGACAAGGCGGGGCGUUGGUGGGCCAGCGAGAGCCGUCGGAGCGCAUUAGAGCGCUAGCAGGUGGCAGUGAGGGUGCAGAGCAAAGUGACAGGCGUGGCGGGCGGGACGUUGGAUUCCAGACUUGGACAUGCAGGGAAUGGCGCGGCUCACCGUAAAGGUUUCCUUCGUCCGCCCAAUGUGCAGGACCACUGAGCUGCCUAUGCCCAGCCCGGCGAACCCGCCGCCCCGACAGCACCACGCCCUGGGGAUGAUGAUGCACCUGCGCCGGCAAAUAACAACACAGAAAGGGCCGGCGCAUGUUUGCACCACCACCCCUUGAGUGACCGCAGUUGCCAGGAGCUUCGUCCCAAGCCGAGUGCCGAAAGCUAUCAGCCAAUGCCUGCCAGUGUGGGGGUUCAUGUUAAUGCGCUUACCCGUCGGCGUCGGUUUUCGACAGCACCUUGCAGCAGGCCGGAAGGGCUGCACCCGCCUCCGCCGCCACCGCCGCCGCAGCCCUGUCCCCGCCAUGCUGUGCCGCCGCCGCCGCCGCCGCCGCCGCGAGGCGCCCAGAUUGUGGCAGCGCCUCCACGAUCACCUCAUCUUCGCCGUCCAACACGGCCUCAUCCUCGGACUGCAGGACCUCAUCCUCAUCCGGCUCCUCAUCCUCGUCUUCAUCCUCGUCCGUCACCGCACCCGCGGCCCCUCUAGCGGCCGCGCCGGCAUUGCCAGCGGCUCGGCCGGACCUGCCAUGUAGUCCCGCCCCGUCGGUGCCGGUGCCUAGGACCUCCAGACAGACGUGGCGCGGCGUCAGCGGUGCGUCGCCGGGCUGCAGCGGCCGGCCGUCCGCCCCGCACGGCGCGAGCGCCAGCACGCGCCCGCGCUCCAUGCGCAAUGCAUCCUUCAGGGCCUUGCCGAUACGAACGCCCAGUGCGCCCGAGAGGCCCACGUUGGCCUGUGCGUUACGCAUGGGCCGGAAAGAGCUACUGACGGGUGGAGCGUUAAGCGUAGGCCCUAGCAAAGUGUUUUGUUGCGCGUGUGGUCACGCAAGUUGUCACGUGUCAGCAUGUACACACGGCUCGAGGGUAUUAACCCCAGGAGUCAUAGCGCUUCGCCAAAGUGCGCCGCACGUACCUGCGUGAACUCGGCAGAACCGCGCACGUGUAGGCACAAGACCUGCCCCCUCGUGGUACCCGCCAUGACUCCUCCCGCCUUCAGCCACGCCACAGGGAAUUUGACCUUCCUAUAAAUCAGAGCAUGCCCGCACGCGUGAAGGACAUGCGUUAUCCUAGGUAUGUACAGAUCGGCAUUCCUCAUCAAGGCCCUAGAGUAAUGCAUGCUCUUGCCCGACUUGAGCCUUGUACACAGUCAAACAGCAUUACGUACUGAGCGCAGUCGGUUUUGGUGAGCUCCUUCAUGCAGGAAAUGUUGAAGGUGGGGAAUCCGCCAGCCACCGCGCCAGGCGCCGGCACACUGCCCACAGCAGGGCCAGCACCAGCAGCUGGAUUGGAUUCCGCACGCUCCAUCCCGUCGACGCCUUGACCCUCUUGCUCCCCCGGCUCCGCCUCCUGCUGCUGCUCGUCCUCCUCCGCAGCCGCCAUAUGCGCAUCCGCCUCCCCCGCAUCCGGCACUGCGGCCGGCGACCGCGCCUGCGGCCGCCGCUGCGGCUGCAGGGGCUGCUGCUGGUCCGCCCUGGGUUGCAGGAGCGCGGCGCAGCCCGCGGCGAGGUCAGCCUUACGCACGCACCACACGGUGAAGUGCACGGGCGGCACUUUCCAGUCAGCUGCCAUCCGGGCCGCCGCUGCGGAGGCGUUCUCAUGCGCCUGUGCCGGCGACACGGCGGCGGC